CAGUGAUGGGAGAAGCUGGUGGGAAACUCAGCCCCAGCAGUCUCUUCAGGAAUACGCAAAGGUCUGGAGGUCUUGGCAGCGGCUCUUCCAGUUACCCAGAGCCUGCUGGCUUAUCCAGCGUUAUACAUCCUUUCAAUUUGGGGAUGCCCUUGGGUUUGACAAGCUCAGCUGAGAUCCAUAGCUGUUUGCCCCCUAGUUCAGCCCUGCAUCUACCUCUCUCUAUCUCCGGGAAAUCUGGUUUUGCUCCUCCUGUAAAUCCUACUUUUCCAGGCUCUACCCCUACUCCCCUUUUUACAAGUGGGAAAACUGGGCCAGGCUCCAGUCUUUAAUCUCAGCACCCUGGAGACAGAGGUAAGCUGAGGCCAGCCUAGUCUCACAGCAAGUUUCGAACCAGCCUACGGCUAACACAGCGAGAUUCUGCCUAAGAUAAAAAUUCAAAGUGGGGAAACUGAGGCUGAAGGGGCAAGUCACACAGCAGCGCACAGCGGACUGAACUGGUGAGGAUAAUAAAAUCGCCCCCGUGGGACUGUUACUGUGUGUUCCUCGGGGGAGCCCAUGGAAAUGUUACUUUGUGUUCCUCGGGGGAGCCCGUGGAAAUGACACUGUGUGCUCCUCGGGGACUGUUAAGUUCAUUCAGAGCCCACGUCUUCACUGUGAAAGAGGAAACUCAAAUAGAAUGACUUGGGGUCCUAAGGCCGGCAAACAGAAAGUUGUUUGGGGACAUGGGUCUUUCUGAUACAGAUGAUUCUUCUGAUGGAAUGAAGAGAGACUAGGAAUCCAAAAUCCUAGCUCUCCCAGUUCACUUCAGCAGAUUUUGCCCCCUUCGCGGCCUCUGCCGUUACGUUCAUUUAAUAGUGUCGGCUCGGAUGCUCAGGGCUUCAUCUGGCUGAAGGCGUUAUAACCCCCAAACUCUGCCCGUGACCGUUCAGGAACAGCAGUAGCAAAGUCACCCUCUCCCACGUCACCAGGAGCCUUGGAAAAUCUGAAGCUACAGAUGUGGCUCAGGUUACGCCAUUUCCAUUUUACGGAGGAGGAAACCAGCUUAGGAGAUCUUGAAUGGCAUGGUCUACAAUGGCUGCCCUGAGGUUUGUGCCUCGAAGGGACGAAUACCGCCUAAAUGUUUCAUGCUCACAGUCACCUUCCUCUUCUCACUGACUUGUGACAGACAGUAUUACAUUCUGUCUUUGAGGGCAGCCACAGCAUUGGUGCUGAGAUCCAAGGAUGUUAGAAGUCCCCCAAGAUGUCCCCACAAGAGCAGCCAUUGUCAUUUAGGAUUGAAUUUAGGCUGACACUGUUGUUUGCCCUUCUUCGCUGUCCCCAGCUAACUCCAGCUACAGCCCAAGGGCCUCUGCUACUUCAGCCCCUAUCAGUCAGGAUACCAGCUCCCUUCCAGAAAGUAACUCCUGUCAGUUCCCUUGCCCCCUCAUCCAACAGGAGCGCCCUAGAGGGUGCAUGUCCCCAGACAGCUCAGUCCAUAGGGGAUAUCCCCAGGUUUCUGCAGGAGCAGCUAUAGUAGCGACCAUGACAUUGGGAGCAAGUUCUUUGUGAUAAGAGCUCCAAGGUCUGUUAGCUUCAUGGCUACCUCCCUUCCCCGUCUCUCAGAGAAAAGACCUCCUCUGGGGUCCUAGACUUGGUUCAUCUCUGAGGUAUUUGGGAGGGCAGCCUGUGGUUCUAGUCAGGACAGGGAUCCAAUUAUGCCUACAUACCUGACUGGCCAGGGAGGGCUUCUCUGGGUCUUGUGAGCAAGCAAAACCUAUCUCAUCUUGUAUCCUUGAAAUGUACCGAGGAGCCUGAACUGGAUGAAGAUUCAGGACCUAGACCUAGGUCCCUGGAGGCUAGGUUUGCUGGAGGCAUUUGGCAUCUGGCUGGGUCAUCCCAUUUGGAUGUAAAAGGGUCAGAUUUUAGGCUGUGAUUGUAAAGUAAGGAGGCCACAUUGGGUUUUUAAAUAGUUUUAAAUUUAAGAAAAUGAAUUAAGAGAAAGGACUUAUGGAGUGAGGAUUCUUGGCGGCCUCGGGAUAAUUAUAAAACCAGCUCCAAUUUUCCAAGUCCUUUGCAGUUCCAAGCCUGAGGGGCCACAGUCCCCAGGGGAGCUGGCUGGACAAGGUCUUUGGCACACCCAACAGAAUGGGGCUAUCCCUCUGCCUCCAGGAGGGCACCAUCAUUCCCCACCCCUUCCUUAGAUCCAGAUGCAAGAGAGUGGUCAGACAAAUCUAUUUCGAUGCCUGCUCUGUUGCUUGUCCAUAAAACGGAGUAACGGCAGUUCUCAGUACAGAGUUGAACCUCUGCCCCCAGACCCUCCAUUGCUCUUACAGCUCACACUGCUGGCUUUUCUUCCCCUCCACCAAAGCCACCUGGGGGGAAAGGUGCUUCCAGAUACAUCACCCCUACCAUUUUUUGUACCUGAAACCUGGAGAAAGAAACCAGCCUGAAACCAGGGCACAGCUAUACCUGGCCCUGUGUCAGGGCAGCCACUGCUGAGGCACCUCCCCUUUCCCAUUCUCUCAGCCUCACCCACUCUGGAGGCAGAUGUGCCUUGCACUUGGGAACAGGAGGUGCAAUGGAUGGAGUAAGCUUCACCUUUUUCUUUUUUCUCUCCCUCCCUCUCCCUUCUUGCCUUUCUAUCUCCUCUUCCUCCUCCUCCUCCUCCUCCUCCUCCUCCUCCUCCUUCUCCUCCUCCUCCUCCUCCUCCUCCUAAGAUUUAUUUAUUUUAUUUAUAUGAGUACACUGUCACUAUCUUCAGACACACCAGAAGAGGGCAUCAGACCCCAUUACAGAUGGUUGUGAGCCACCAUGUGGUUUCUGGGAAUUGAACUUAGGACCUCUGGAGGAGCAGUUGGUGUUCUUAACUGCAGAGCCAUCUCUCCAGCCCCCCCUCCUCCUCCUCUUCUUCUUCCUCCUUCCUCAUCUUCCUCUCCCCUCCUCCUCUUCUUCCUCUCCCCUCUCUUUCUUUUUAUAGUAUUGGGGAUUGGGCCUAGAACUUCAUGCAUGCUAGGCAAGUGCUAAGCCACACACCUAGCCUUUUAAUUUUAAAUUUAUCUAUCUAUCUAUCUAUCUAUCUAUCUAUCUAUCUAUCUAUCUAUCUAUCUAUCUAUUACUUAUUCUCUGGAAACUUCAUACACGUGUACAAUUGUGGGGCCAGGGAGCUGUGGGACCAGGAGGAGCAAGAAUGGUUGAAGUGUGUCCUAACCCAGGAAAUCUCCCCUGAGAUCAGCAGGAGUGGGAUCACUGCCCGCACCGCUCUAGGCUGGCACGCCCCUGAGCAUGUAGCCCUGUGCCCCCAACCCUUGCCUCACCAGAGGAAGUCACAGAGCCAGAAUCCAGGCUAAACUUCCUUUCUUACGAGGUCGUGUCCAGCAGCAUGUGGGAUUCCUCCUUACACUAAUGAGGAGGAACCCUCAUAAUUAAUGAGGAGGUGCUUAUCCUCAGCACCCUGGCGUUGGCCAAUGACGUAAACUUACCCCAGUAGCCCCUCCUCACCCCCCAAGGUUUAAAUAGCCUUUAUUCCCCACCCCCAAUAAACUGAACCAGUUCUCCAAAGCUGCUCCCCAGUGUGUGUUCUUUGCCUGCGCACUCUCCUCUCAUUCAUUGCUGACCAAGAUCCUGCCUGCAACCCACCAGCCUGGCUAAGCCUCUUUUCCUCCAGUCCAGCAGGUGUGCAAUGGCCCU
Molecule: long non-coding RNA, 3666 nt
Filed under: Mus musculus (house mouse)
Lineage: Eukaryota; Metazoa; Chordata; Mammalia; Rodentia; Muridae
Description: predicted gene 45843
Source: RNAcentral